GACGAACGCUGGCGGCGCGCUUAACACAUGCAAGUCGAGCGAAGCGGCGGACGGGUGAGUAACCCGUGAGUAACCUGCCUUAGACAUUGGGAUAGCCUCGGGAAACCGGGAUUAAUACCACAUGGUCUAAGAUGGACUUGAGUCCCAUUAGCAAGCUGGUGAGGUAAAGGCCCACGAAGGGGACGAUGGGUAGCCGGCCUGGGAGAGUGGACCGCUACCUUGGAACUGGGAAGCGGUCCAGACUCUACGGGAGGGAGGAGUGCGGAAUAUUGCACAAUGGAGGGAAGUAUGAUGCAGCGACGGCUCGUAAACAAAUAAAGCGUUCGAGUCGUAAAGUUCUUUUAUAUGGGAAGCGGUACCAUAAGAAAAAGCCCUGGCUAACUACGUGCCAGCAGCCGCGGUAAUAC
Molecule: ribosomal RNA, 407 nt
Filed under: uncultured bacterium
Lineage: Bacteria
Description: partial 16S ribosomal RNA
Rfam family: Bacterial small subunit ribosomal RNA
Source: RNAcentral